CAGCAGUCGCCACGGUAAUACGAAGGGGGCUAGCGUUGUUCGGAUUUACUGGGCGUAAAGCGCACGUAGGCGGAUCGAUCAGUCAGGGGUGAAAUCCCAGAGCUCAACUCUGGAACUGCCUUUGAUACUGUCGAUCUGGAGUAUGGAAGAGGUGAGUGGAAUUCCGAGUGUAGAGGUGAAAUUCGUAGAUAUUCGGAGGAACACCAGUGGCGAAGGCGGCUCACUGGUCCAUUACUGACGCUGAGGUGCGAAAGCGUGGGGAGCAAACAGGAUUAGAUACCCCAGUAGUCCCUGUCUCUUAUAC
This 304-nucleotide ribosomal RNA is filed under the name uncultured bacterium. Its description in RNAcentral is "partial 16S ribosomal RNA". It matches the Rfam family "Bacterial small subunit ribosomal RNA", at positions 506 to 807 of the family's 1533-position model. The record is from RNAcentral.